AGUUCUGUGAUGUGAGUUCCACGAAUGUCCAAGAUCCUCAAAUUCUGCAGUUUCUCAAUGCUUUGAGGUAAUUCCGCAAUUGAUGUGAUUUCAAGUCCUGCUCAAUCAACGAUAUCAACUUUUCAAUCGAGUCGGUGAUCUCUUUCAACAAAUGACAUCCUCAUAAUAACAAGCGUUGUAGAGACACCAGGGAGUCUAUGGAGUCUGGAAGUUGAGCAAGUUUAUGGCAUUUCCUUAGGUCAAGGAGAGACAAAAAUGUUAGAUUGCCUAUGGAGCUAUGUAUGUGGGCCAACAAUGCACAAUUAAAGGCAUUAAGGGUUUCGAGCUUCUUCAAAGAACCAAUUGAUUUAGGUAAUUCUUCAAUCCCUGAAUAAGACAAGUCCAACUGAAUCAAUGACAUGAGGGAGCCCAUGGACUUUGGAAAAUUUCUAGUCCCUGAAUGAGAUAGGUCCAAUUGAGUUAACAACCCAAGAGAGCCCAUGGAGUGUGGUAAUUCUUCAAGAUAUGAAUAAGAUAGGUCCAAUUGAGUUAACGACUUAAGGGAGUCCAUGGAUUCAGGUAAUUUAUCAAUCUCUGAAUGAGAUAGGUCUAGUUAAGUUAACGACUUAAGUGAGCCCAUGGAUUUAGGAAGUUGAGCAAGUUGUGGACACCACGAGGCACAUAAAAUCUCCAUCUUCAUCAAAUCACCCUUUGAUAUUGGAAUCUCUCGUAUAGCUGUGUCAUUUAUGAGAAGCUCCCUCAAUUGUUCCAUUCUACCUAUUCCUAUCGGUAGUUCAUCCAGUCUCCUACAACCGUUGACAUUAAAAGAGAUAAGGGACUUGAUGUGCAUAUUGGAAUGAUGAAUCGUUUCCAGAUUCUCACAUUCUUCAAGAAUCAAAAUCUCCAAGCUUUCGAAAGCAGACAAGUCAGAAGUGCUUCUCAAAGAAAGACAACCUGUAAGGUUGAGAACUUUGAGCUAGGUUGCCAUCUGAAGAAAAAAAAGAGAUACCUCAAUGAGAUUUUCCACUACUCUUUGUUCUUUUAGACUUUUUAAAAUUCCUCAGAAAAACCCACGCUCCACUACUCCUUAUCUUAUGCUACCAUUGCUAUGAUGCUCCACUACUUCACAUUUGUUUUAUUUAAAUGUUUCUUAAGUAGUAGUGUUUGGCUAUGUCACCGACACAUAAAUGUCUAUCACAAAAAGAAUGUUACGGACAUAAAAGUGCCCUCUAGCACUCACAAAAAUAACAUAUAGUUCACCCUCACAAAAUUAAUUAUAAAGCAAUGCACUUAUUUUGAAGUAGCGUUAACUUUUGUUUCUAAUAUAAAUUAUUCUAACUAUUCAAAUAGUAUUUCAUGUAAAAAGCAGUUAGAGCAUUUGUGUGAUAGUAACCAAAUGAUAGGUAAAUAGUCGUAACUUUUCAUUUCCCAUUAAAGAAGAUAGAUAUAGAUAUAUAACAAGAAUCGUUAAAAAGUCAUACUUUUACCUGGGAGAAAUUAGCCUAGAAGCCAAAAACAAUUUAGAUAAAAAAAAAUCACGAUAGGCAAAAUACUGUAAUUAUAUUUUUAAUAGAUGUUAAUUAAUAUAGUUUAAGAAGUUCUUUUUAGUAUGUCCAAUAUUAAGCAUGACUGGUUGUUAAGGUAUUAUCAAUUUAAGAUGUUAAGGUGCACAAGCUUCUGGUAUAUUUAGAUGCCUAUAAGCUCCUCUUGUAUUUAGAGGAAGAUUCUUAAUUUGAGCAAGAAUAUUAAACCUUUUUGAAUGAAAGAAAGGAGAACUUGGUGCGAUUGGGACUUCAACAAAAUGUGAUUAUUAACAAGAGAUAUGUCCUUUCUUCAUCUUACCUUCAGUGGAUCCCAUCCUUCCCAAUCAUUUGAAAUCUCACUCCACGAUAGAUUGAGCAUGACUAAUUUUUUUGGAUGAAAAUUAGUUGCUUCGAAAUUCGAGAGACAACGCUCCCAAUGAAGCCAUCUUAGUUGAGGAAGUAAAUUUUCAAAAUCUCUGAUUAAAUUCACACCACACACUUGAAGGUACCUCAAGUGGGCUAGUUCUUUAAAUUGUCCACCUGUGUAGCUUCUUUUGUAGCCAUAUUCAUCAAGACGAAGGGCCUCAAUCUUACAAGUGGCCUACAAUUAGGAAACAUAGGAGACCGUAAGAUUUGAGUGAUGACAUGAGACCAACUGCAUAUAAGAAAAGAUAUACUAUUUCAUUUACUGAUAUACUAUUAUCUUGCAGGCUUCUCCCUUUCAACUUUGCAAAGCGGUAGAUUUUGAUUGCGUAAUUAAAUAUCUCAUAUGUAUAAAAAUGUAAGGCUAAGGAGGGUGUUUUGUGACUUAUUCUCUUCCAAUUAUGCCCUUCACAAUUUACACAUUUUGAAUUUCCAAAAAAAAAAAAUUAAUAGAAUAGAAUAUCUCUCUCCAUGCACACACCACUCCAAAUAUAUCUAUUAAAAUUCAUGUCAUUUAUAUGCGAAACAAUGCAACUCUAACUCAUAUCCUUAAUACGCAAAACAACAAGACGACCCUUACAAUGCAAAUAUAUCUAUCAAAUUUGCCAUCAAGACAUCCAUCAAAAUUAGAGAAUCCCCAUGGUAAUAGCUAAGUGAAACAAGAAUGUCAUCCAAAAAGUACGCGCAUGUUUACAUUCCUUUUUUGUCAUGUUUUUCCUCUAUGAGUGAUUUUCUUUGUACUUGAAAGAAAAACCAAUCAUCGAUCAAACGUUAUAUAAUUAAUUUUUACUCCUCUUUUCGUCACUGCAGAUGGUUGAUGUUCUCUUCUCAUGCGUUGUGAAAUAGCAGUCAUUGAUAUGUUUGAUAAUUUGCCCAUAGAUUGAUGAGAUCUUGCUAAUAGACACAUUGGCUAAGAAGAUCGACUAAAUUGGAUGUUUAAAGAGCUCAAUUGUUAUGUUUGGAGGAUACAAUUUCUCCUUCAAACUUGUAUUCUUUCAGAUGAGACGCUACUUACUUUUCCUUCAAAAGUUCCUUGUAAAUUUAUAGUGUUUUUUCAAUAACUUCAUAGAUAACUUUCUUUUAGUUCUAAUCAAUGUUCUAUAUUGUUGAUUAGAUUUCCAUUUGUGCAAAAAUUUUCUUGCUGAAAAGCAUCGAUAUAAUAUUUUUCAGUAAUAUUGCUACUUCAUUAUAUUUUGCAUCUCAAUGUUUAUAUGUGGUACUUGUCAAUUAAAGAUGCUCUUGACAUUUGCGCGUGCUUGUGUGAUGCUUGAACAAAUCAUCCAUAUGUCAUAAGUGCUUUUAGUUACGUCCAUAUUAACUUUAACACUAAUAAUGAAAACUCGUCGUCAUAUAAAAUUCAAAACAUUUUUUGUCUUUACAUGACAACAAAAGUUAAAUUUAAAAAUAUUUGAGUGAGCCAUUGCUUUGAAUUUAUCCACGUCUUAUUGAUAUUAUGCAGAUUAAUCUCAUUAACAAAAUUUGAUCCGUCACUUUUUCGAGUAAUUUAUGAGAUGAUGGACAACAUUCUCAUAUAUAUUUAAUUAAAAAAAUUACAUUGGCUUAAAUUAAGUAUUACAGGUGAUAAGAGCUAUCUCUAACUGUGUAUAUAAUCAUAUUCUAAUAUAACGUUGUUAAUAAUUGUUAUUAUAUGAAUACAUGGUCCUCAAACUUAUGUGAUAAUCAUUUAAAAAAAAUAGAAAAAUCGAAAGUAUUCUUAUCCUGAAUUUGAUUGUUGAAUUGAAAAUUAUAUUGUAAUAUAUUAUGUUAAUAUUACUUUGAUGUCGGCAAAUGGUUGUAAAUUUGUUUUCUGUUUUUCUCACUAUUGUUAUCUCAUAAAUUUAUAAAACCAUUGUAAAUGUAAGGUUACCCGAUCACUAAAAUAUAAACUCCGAUGAUUCUCCAUAAAAGAAAUUUGUGUAUACAUGUUUAGUAAAUAUGUUGUUAAAAAUUUUAGUUGUGAUAAUUCUUCGACAUUGAAAGGUUCGUCAGAUUGAAGAUGUAUGUUUUUUAAUAUAUGUUCUAAAAGUAAAGUACAAAUUAUUAUCGAGACCAUAUCAUUGCAAAUGUAUAGUCUUGCAAAAAUAUAAUAUAAUGUGGUAGAUAAAUCGAUAAUUUCACCACUAAAUAUUCUUGUGUAACUUUUUAUAGAAAUCGUGACCUGGAAAUUAAUUUUUAGAUAUAUCUUUAUACACAUAGACAACAUAAUAACAAUUCUUCCAUUAAAUUUUCGUGAUCAUGAAUAUUUCUAGGGAAGUUUUCAUUAUUCUUCUAAGACGAAGUCAUUUAGUUUUGUGGUGUUGGUCAAAGUUAUGAUGAUUCUUCUACUACAAUCCUGACCGAUUUAUUUAUAUUAACAAUGAUCGUCCUACAUGAUACUGUUAAUAUCAACGUCAGUAAUUUCUAAUGAAAUUGAUAUAUUUUAAAAAAAAUUAUUGUCAAAUUGAUCAAAUUAAAAUGUUUAUAAUUAAAAUUUUAUUUUGAUAAUUUUUUCACCGAUAUUACAUUAUAUUUUCAUUGUCAUGUCAAAUCCGUUUGUUUAGUAUUAGAUAACGUUCUCCUUUGGCUAAUAGAGUUAUAGUUGAUGUUAUGUUCGCUGUGAAAGAGUCCCACCAGCUGAAGUUCAAGCUUCACUUCAGCAGAUAUAUAAAACGAAAGUUAAGUAAAAAGGUGGCAAUGCCAUCAAAUAAUCAAAACCAAAUCAAGCACACCGAAUUAGGAAAGCCUCGGAAAUCAAUUUCAAAGCAAUGGACAAAUUUGACUUUGACUCCAUGUGAUAAAGGCAAGUAUAAAUAAAGGCGAGCUACUCCUAGGCUUCAACAGAGGCCAACUUCAGCACUCUGUGUCUGUCUCUUCUUCACGACACUGCUUGCGGGAUCUCAGUUCGCUACUGAAGGCUUUUAUUGGUAUUGGGCUUAAGGCCCGUCCGCCCAAGUUGGGCCCAGAAAGCCCGGCCCACGGGAAUACGGCCCGUGGAAAGAGGGAGGUAUAAAAGGGAGGAGAGAGAGAGAGAGAUGACGUUGGUUGAAAUCAGAAUUCACGUCGUCUCUCUCCCGCGCGUAUUCUCUCUCAAAAGACAAAAAGAAAGAACAGUAACGCAUACGGCUUGUUCUUCCUCCCUUCAAGGCUUCAUCGAAUCGAUUCGACCAGAUUCUCUUCCUCCAUUGGCGUUUGGUGUUUAAUCUGUGGCAAUCAAGGUACGCUCGAAUCCGUGGUGUGCUUUACGAUCGGUGAUAUGUGUCGUUUUCUUGGGCUUCGCUUCCGCAUUGAUUUAGGGGUUCGAUUUAGUGUCGAAUCCGGGUUUUCGGGGAUCAGUCAUUCCCAACAUUGGUAUCAGAGCCCGCUUUCACGUUUUCCCGAUCAAUUUAAUAUGUUUUGAUUGAGUUUUUCGCGAAGAAACUUUCGCCGUACGGAACCGGGCGAAAUCCCGACACCCGAGACUUCUUCGGCCAUUUUCAUGAGUUUUAGAAUGUCAAAAACAAAUUCUGAAAGCACUGGGAAGAAAGGCGACGUCGAGACGAGUCUGGAGAUGUCUCGAGCGCGGCCGGGUGACGCCCGCACCGCGCCCACACGCGCGGCCGGAAGGCGCUGCGCGUGGGCGCGACGCGCCCGGAAGCGCUCGAUCGCCAGGCGCGUGCGUCACACGCGCCGGUCGGCGAAUCGGCGCAUGUGCACCGCCGGCCGGCGAACCGGCACGCGCCGGUCCACGGACCGACGCGUGCUGACGUCAUCAUGACGUCACCCAACGGUCAGUAACCGCUGGGCUGACGUCAUCGAUGACGUCAGCGAUGACGUCGGUUGGCCGGGCGGCGACCCGACCCGAGAACCGACCCGACCCGACCGGCUGAUGAUGGCACGCGCGUGGCAGGUGCCGCUGACGUCUGCGUGACGUCAUCCCGCGCACGCGCGCGGCACGUGCGGCCGGUCCGCCCGAACGGUCCGACCGGUUCGUCCGGUCAGUCUGGUCCGACCGGUCCGUCCGGUCCGACGACCGACGACCGUUGACCGGCGACGACCGUUGACCGGCGACGACCGUUGACCGUUGACUUGACCGUUGACCGACCGUUGACCGUUGACUUUGACCGUUGACCCAAAAAAAAAAAAAAGAAAAAAAAGAAAAAAAAAGGGAAAGAAUGUGUUUCUUUUUCAAUUAAGUCUAUGUGGAUUAUAUGUAAUCCCUUAUUUGUUCUGCAUUUGUUGCAGGAACAAUGCCUCCCCUGAGGAUGCGCACACCUAUUCGCGCAGUGACCGAUGAACAAAAGGAAAGGCUGUCUAAGUUGAUAGCUGAGCUGACUGAUCAUCGAUGGGAGAGUGGUGACUUAAUUGAUCACGUCCUUGAAGUCAACGGGAAAAUUCAACAGGUCAUAUGGAAUGGUCGUCCUAUGUCACAGUCAGAGAUGGUGCGAUUUUUCAUAAAUACUCUUCCACCUGAAUGGCAAGAUGUGUUGAAUCGCAUAUGGGAUGUCAACGGAGCUGCUUCCUAUAAGAAAAUUGUGAUGGAUUUUGUAAAUGAAUAUUAUUGUAUUGUUUCAAGGGAAAAGAUCAAGAAAUUGAACAAAAGAGGAUCUUUCCCAGUUCGUGUGCUGACUUGGUGUUAGUUGUAUUUGCUGAUAUAUGUUAAGUGUGAUUUGUGGACAUAUUAUGUAAUGAUUACUACCUAAUUGUGUUAAUUGAAAGCAUUAUUGUUUUUAUUAGAUGUUCUAUUAUAUAUUGUUUUCUGUUAUUGCUGGUUGCUGUGGGUAAUUAGCUGUGGGUAGUUUUAGAAGUUUUUGUAGCUUCAUAGAAUUGAUUUUGCAUAAGACAAUUAUAUUGAUGAUAGUUUUAAGUUAGGAUUUUGGAGGAUGAUUGGAAACAUAGUGACCUUUUGAUUCUGAAACCUUACUUGAAAUUAUUCAUUAAUGUGAUGGGUCUAUGUAAAUAGGGAUGCAUAAAUGAUAGGCAUUAAUAAUUCGUGCAUAUUUGUCUGAUUUGUUCAGAUCAAUGGCUUCAGCCACAAAGAGCAUAGUUGCCGAGCUGAACAAAGGUGAAAAGCUCAAUGGAGACAACUAUGAAAUUUGGCAAAUGAAAAUCCAGUAUGUGCUGGAAGAGCAAGAAGCACUUGAGGCUCUUGUCAUGACCAUGGUAGAACCUGAAGAGGGAACUACUGCACAGCACAAAAGAAACAAAGAAGCUUUUUCUGCGUGGAAAAGAAUGAACUCUCUAGCUCGCAUCACGUUGCUGAGCAGCAUGGAAAAUGACGUCAUGCGAGAGUUUCGGCGUUUUGACAAUGCUAAGGAAAUGUGGGAAGCAUUGGCAGCUAGAUUUGGUCAUACUUCGGUGACUAGAUUGAGGCAGCUCACUAUCAGGUUUGACUCUUAUAAGAAGCCUCAUGGUCAGACCAUGAAGCAACAUCUUAGAAAGAUGUCAAACAUGAUAACUGAGCUGAGAGAUGCUGGCCAUGUCCUCACAGAUGAGUAGCAAGUGCAAGCAGUGAUUCGUUCCUUGCCUCAGAGUUGGGAGCAUAUGAAGGUGCACCUGACUCAUAAUGAAAAUAUCAAAACCCUUGAGGAUGCAAUGCGUCAUCUUGAGCUGGAAGAGGACCGCUUGUUGGCGGCUAAGCCGGAUGCUGAACUUUAUUAUGCUGGUUCUAGCUCAAAUGGAGCUUCGAGCUCCAAACGUAAGCGCCCUAACUGGUUUGAUAAGGGGAAAGGCAAGGAAGAAGCAGGUCCUUCAGGGAAGAAACCCAAGUUUAACCAACAUGAAAGAGGGAAGCGUCCCCGCAUGAAAAAGCUUGCAAGGGUGAAAUGCUACAACUGUGACAAGAAGGGUCACUAUGCUCGCGAUUGUCGUGAGCCAAAGAAGGUAUGCACCCCUUGUACUUUUCAGAACUUUACUUAUGUGUCGAGUUCUGUGUUCCUAACUGAGUCUAAUCCUUUGUGGACUGUGGAUUCAGGAGCGACAGACCAUGUAGCGAAGGAUAGAGGAUCCUUCGUGGAAUUCCGACGAGUACCAAUUGGAACUAAGUGGAUCUAUGUGGGAAACAACUCCAGAGCUGAAGUGAAAGGAAUUGGCACAUGCCAACUGAAUAUGCGUGGUGGACGCACCUUGUUUCUUCAUGAUGUAUUGUAUGCUCCGGAGAUUCGUCGGAAUUUAGUGUCUGUAUUAAUGUUGGUUAAAUUAGGUUUUAAUAUGAACUUCUGUAGUAGAGGUGUGAAUUUGUUUUUGGAGACAAAUUACUAUGGUUGUGGCUAUUUUCUGGAUGGUUUUAUUGUAUUAGAUAUUGAUUAUGUUAAUGCUAAUGUUUGUUAUUCCCUUAUCACAUCUUCUAAUACCUAUGAUAAUGAUGUGAAUGUGUGGCAUGCUAGACUUGGUCACAUUGGCCAACAACGUAUGAAUAGACUAGCCAAAGAGGGCUUGUUGCGUAACAUUGAAAAAGUCGAUUUACCCAUAUGUAAGCAUUGUCUAGAAGGAAAAACAACACGGAAACCAUUUGGGAAAGGGAAAAGAGCUGAAUUUCCUUUGCAUUUAAUCCAUUCUGAUGUCUGUGGUCCAAUGAAUGUGAGAGGAAGGCAUGGGGCUGUUUAUUUCAUCACCUUUAUUGAUGACUAUACUCGAUUCGGAUAUGUCUAUUUGAUUUCUCAUAAGUCUGAAGCAAUAAGUUGUUUCAAAAGGUUUAUGAACCUGGUAGAAAAUCAAUUAGACAAGAAAAUAAAAACAUUGAGAUCCGAUCGAGGUCGAGAAUAUUUAUCUGAUGAGUUCAGAAAAUUAUGUGAUGAAAAAGGAAUAGAAAGACAGUUGUCUAUUCCGUAUACUCCUCAACAAAAUGGUGUUGCAGAGAGAAGAAACAGAACCCUACUGUAAAUGGUUAGGUCUAUGAUGGCGCAUGCUAACUUACCUAUCACCUUUUGGAGUGAUGCAUUGUUAACUGCUGCCUAUAUACUUAACCGGGUGCCUUCCAAAUCAGUUACUUCCACUCCAUAUGAGUUAUGGACAGGUAGAAAACCGGACUUAAGUUUUCUUAAGCCAUGGGGUUGUGCUGCCUACACACAUGAGUCCUCUCACAAAUUUGGGAAAUUAGGUCCCAGAGGAAAGAAGAGUAUUUUCAUAAGAUACUCAGAACACUCAAAAGGGUAUGUGUUCAUAGGUGAGCAAGAAAGUGGAAGUAUAACUGAGUUUGAAUCACGAGAUGUCACAUUCUUAGAGGAUGAAUUUCCUAAGAAGGGCGAAAUAGGGGAAGAUUGUUCUCUAUUUGAGACCUUGGAUCAGGAUAAUGACCUUAGUGGACUUCGUCCAAGUGGGAGUAAUAUGAGAAGUGAUGAAUUGAAUUCAACUCAUUCUCAAUUGCAACCACUUGAUGAGACGACAUCAUUACCUAAUCCAAGUGGGAGCAUAAUGGGAAAUGAUGUGCAAAGUGUACAAUCUCCCAUUAGGCGAACAAGUCGCCAAAGUAUUCCCCGUCGACGUUUUGGCAUUGAAGGAGAAACUUUUAUGGUUGCUCCACAAGAUGAGGAUGAGCCAAGAAAUAUUAAUGAGGCUCUGAAUUGCCCUAGUAAGGAAAAAUGGAUCAAUGCAAUGGAAGAGGAAAUUGAGUCAAUGAAAUCAAACCAAGUCUGGGAACUGGUUGAUCUGCCAAAAGGACGCAGAGCUAUUGGGAACAAAUGGGUUCUCAAAAUAAAGCGAAAGGCUGAUGGCUCGAUUGAAAGGCAUAAGGCUCGCCUUGUGGCGAAGGGGUAUAAUCAACAGGAAGGAAUUGAUUAUGAAGAUACAUUUUCUCCUGUAGUGAGAUUUACCUCGAUUCGCAUUAUUCUGGCAAUAGUGGCUAGUCUGGAUCUUGAGUUACAUCAAAUGGAUGUAAAGACUGCUUUCCUCAAUGGACAAUUAGAGGAAGAAAUAUAUAUGGAACAACCUGUUGGUUUCAUAGUGAAAGGCCAAGAAGAAAAAGUAUGUCGACUUUUGAGGUCGAUAUAUGGUCUUAAGCAGUCGUCAAGACAAUGGUAUAUACGCUUUCAUAAUGCCAUAAUGGCAUAUGAUUUUACGAUGAUUGAUGAGGAUCAUUGUGUAUAUAUCAAAAGAUCCAAGGAUCAAUUUGUGAUCAUAUCAUUAUAUGUUGAUGAUAUACUAAUUGCUGGAAGCAAUAUGGAGUUUGUUAAGACUGUCAAAAGUUGGUUGUCUUCCAACUUUGAGAUGAAGGAUAUGGGUGAGGCUGCAUACAUUCUUGGAGUUAAGAUUUCAAGAGAUCGUUCGAAGAGAUCGUUGUCUCUUUCGCAAGAAACUUAUAUAAACAAAGUUUUAGAACGGUUUCGUAUGCAAGAUUGCAAACCGAUAGACACUCCUAUUGCAAAAGGUGAAGGAUUGAGCCAUAGACUGUGUCCAAGGACUCCACAAGAGAAGGAACAAAUGAAACAUGUACCUUAUGCAAGUGCUGUUGGGAGCUUGAUGUACGCUAUGAUGUGUACAAGACCCGACAUAUGUUUUGCAGUUGGAAUGGUGAGUAGAUACCAAUCCAAUCCAGGUCCAGCACAUUGGAAAGCUGUCAAAAGAAUACUGAGGUAUCUGAAGGGAACUGCUGAUUACAAGUUGAAUUACCAAGGAAAGGAUCUGCGACUUGAAGGCUAUUCAGAUGCUGAUUGGGGAGGAGAUUUAGAUGAAAGGAAAUCUACCUCAGGAUUUGCUUUCUUACUGAGCAAUGGCGCAAUAUCAUGGAGUAGUAAGAAGCAAACCUGCAUAGCCUUAUCCACGAUGGAAGCUGAGUUCGUGGCAUUAUCAGCAGCAGUACAAGAAGCAGUUUGGCUUAAGAGAUUCUUGGAUCAUUUAGGUGUUAUUGAGAAAGCUGCAAAUCCAUUGUUGGUUAACUGUGAUAGCCAAGCAGCUAUAGCGUACACCAAAGAUCCAAAGUAUCAUGGCAAGACCAAACAUAUAGAUACCAAGUAUAACUUUGUAAAAGAUAUGAUUGCACGAAAGGAUGUGAGCUUACAGUACAUAUCUACGCAUAGAAUGGUAGCAGAUCCUAUGACAAAGCCAAUACCUAGAGAUGUGUUUUGUGGUCAUGUAAAAUCUCUAGGAUUGCGUAGAGUCUGAUGUACUGAAUUGUAAUUUCCCUGAGUUGUUCACAUUUAUGAAAUUUUGUUUUUCAUUGAUUAAUGCCUAUGAAUCUUUGUAUGAUCUUUAUGCAUCUUAGUGCUCAGUGCAUUAUUUUAAGUAGAGAAGUAUGUCGGACAGAUAUAAGAUUAGCCCACUCACACGGGUAAUCGCCUCUAUUUACUGUGUGAUAAAUAGAGAUGAGACUGUUUUUAAGCUUAUUAUCUAGGUGAUAAUCGAGAGCUCAAGCUUAAAACACGUAUGUCGCCUUAACUGAGUGUUAAGAUGAUGACAUAAUACUUACUAUGUUCAAAAGUAAAAUAACCCACAUAUUUUACUUUAUCUGUCUAAAAUGCCAGAUGUGAGUUCUGAUGAAUUUUGUGAUUGAGUAGAUAUGUGAACUCAAGUUAGACAUUAGGUAUGUCUGAACUAUCAUCUGUACGGUAUUGAAAAGUGUAGACAUACGCUCCAUGGGAAAGGAGUUAAUACCGUAAUACGUAUUUCAUACUACGUAUGCAUAAGACGACCAAUAAGAGUGGCAAAAAGUUUGAUCUCAACUUUUAUGACGUGUGAGACUCUUGAGGAAAAGAGUUCCUCAAUUUUUGUCCCCUCAUGACUCUUACUUAUUCUCAAGAUUUCUAUUUAGUGUUUGCUAUCUUAGGAUAUUGCCAAUGGUCAUGUGAUGAUUCGAUCUAAUGGGGCAUUUCUAGAAAAGCAAGCUGGACUGAAAUUGAGAGUUUGAAGGAAAGAGGAAGAUCGAUUUUGGAGAAUCACAUUAUAGUUUUGUAUUCACUGGUCGACCAAUUAUAACUGUCUUUGUGAUAAUUAUAAUUGUGAAUACAAUAUAUAUCAUUGUUUAAAAGAGAUUAAGAGAGAUAUAAAUGUGAACGAUCGAUCUAGGGUACUGCAUACUAAAUCUACUCGGAGUGUGACGCCCAUUAUGAGCUGCUAUAUAUUCCUAACAGAUGUAUAGUAACGAGCUCUCAAAGUAUGCUGGUCGCACGGAUUAUUCACCAGUAUGAAUGUUGAAGAGAGGUAAAGAGAAUAUUGUUCGGCCCACCAUGUUAAGAGAGAGUCUAUGAUGGAUUAUUCUCUGAUGGGCCUGAGUAGGGCCUGUCCGCCCAUGUUGGUUUUGGACCACCAUGUGCGAGUGGGAGAUGAAGGCUUUAUUUGAUUUGGGCUUAAGGCCCAUCCGCCAAAGUUGGGCCCAGAAAGCCCGGCCCACGGGAAUAAGGCCCGUGGAAAGAGGGAGGUAUAAAAGAGACAGAGAGAGAGAGAGAGAGAAAAAAAAAAAACGUUGAAUCGGAAUUACGUUCUCUCUCCCGCGCGUUUUCUCUCCCAAAAAGGACAGUAGGCAGUAAGCAUACGGCUUGUUCUUCCUCCCUUCAAGGCUUCAUCGGAUCGAAUUGAUCAGUUUCUCUUCCUCCAUCAACGUCGGUGUUUAAUCUGUGGCUAAAAGGUACGCUCGAAUCCGUGGUGUGCUUUACGAUCGGUGAUGCGUGUCGUUUUCUUGGGCUUCGCUUCCGCAUUGAUUUAGGGGUUCGAUUUAGUGUCGAAUCCGGGUUUUCGGGGAUUAGUAAUUCCCAACAUACCGAAAUGUUCCUGAAGAAUCACCUCUCUUGAUAACACGUGAGAUUCUGGAUAAUUAGAAAAAUCUCCUUUGCGAACGUUGGAUUUGCUUCAUUCUCCAAAAAAAUGGUCCACAUGAGCGCUUCCCCGUCAUAUAUGCACUAUUCACCAUGGAGUGUUUAUUUUCAUUUUUUCGCCACAAUGACUUGGUUUAUAUUAUCAUUAAUUAUAUUUGACCUCUCACAUUUUCUCGAAACCGUGCCUUUGUGUUAAAAAGCAAAAAAUUGUGCAAAUUUUUUACAACCUUAUUUCCUUAUUGAUAACUAUUAGGAGAUGAGCACGGGACAGUUGGUGUAGUUUGAAUGUCAAACCAAACCAAACUGUAUAAGUAAAAUUUGACGAAAAAUGAAACAAUUAAAUCGGAUCAUAGUCAAGAAUUAACCAAGCCAAACCAUUUUUUGGGGAUUGAUUCGGUUUAGUUGUUGUUUCUUCUUUCAUCUUUUUCUCUUUACCUAUUGUAACUUCAUUGAAAACAAAAACAAAAAAAAAACAAAUUCUAUACUCACAACAAGUCAUAAAUUUCACACAAAAUAAAAAUGAAACCUAUUUCGAUAGGCUACUUCACAUAUAAAUGGCAUAAUUAAUUGACAAAAUAAAUAAUUUAUACAAUAAGAUUUUGCAAUUUGAUUUGGUUUCCCAAAAGUUGAAACCAAACCAAACCUCAUAAAAUCGAGAUAUGACUUGAGGAAAUAAAAAUUGACUUAGCUGACCAAAAGAUUCUUUACGAGUUUUGAAGUAUUUAGAGUUAAUAUGGAGAUCAUAAGAUUGGACUAGACAUCAACAACAAUGGUAAUACAUAGCUUCCAAACUAGAGAGAAAUGGCUUUGUUAGAAAUUUUUUGAAACAUUUGCUUCCGAAUCGUGAACAGGACAUGCUGUGGCGACAAGUCGAGGAUUAUUAUUAGGAAGUUCUUGCUCAGAGCACCAGUUAGCCAACCCACACCUAAUAAGUGGAUUUAUUGAUUGUGCACCAUAUGAAAAAAAAAGAAAAAGAAAAAGUGCUUUGAAAAUGACACGUGGAUGUCUAACUUAAUCAAUAAGGGCCCUUCGUCGAUAAAAUCCUUAUUACAAAAAUAUACACUUUAAAUAUUUGAAUUUGACCCCAUUUUUCAUAAAAAGCAAAUAUGCAACUUCAGAGCAGAUGCAACUUUCGAAUUAUAGUCAAUAAAGUUAAUGGCUUUAAAAAUAGGGUUAAUAUUAUGAAGAAUCUCAAACUGGCUCACAUAUAACAAAUUUACCCUAAGCCAAAAACUUCAAACUAGCAUAUUUGUGAUAAAUUUAUUCUAAACAAAUUUUUUGACCACCAAAAACCUCAAAUUGAUAUAUCUAUGAUAAAUUUAUCCAAAAUUAAUUUUUUGACCGCUAAAAUCUCAAAAUUGAUACAUUUAUGAUAUGAAAAAUCACAAGUAGUAAACAUGUGAUAAAACAGAGAGUAAAACCCUAAAUUAACACACCCGUCAAUUGCAAGUAUCAUUUAACUCAGCAAUUUAAUAGUAAAUCUAAUACAAACUAACUAAUGGUAAAUUUGUGACAAGCAUACCGGUUUAGGGUUUUUGGUGGUUAAAAAAUUAGUUUAAGAUAAAUUUAUAACGAGUAUAUUAAUUUAAAUUUUUUUAUGAAUGUAUGAUAUUGGCUUUCUCUUUAUCUGUGAACCAUUGGUACGGGCUUUGCGUAAACUCAACCUCAAUUUCAUUCACCAACCACCUGAAAAAUAUUAUGCUCGGUUGAAGCAACAAAACUGGUGCCGCACUAACAGUACAUACACAGUGUUCGCAACAUUUAUUUCCCUACUGAGUUUGCACUUGAAAGCCACAUGUUCGACGAAGAGAAAGCAUGAGAUCUUAUAGGCUACCUAGACGUGAAAUUAUGACAUAAGCCAAGCCAACAUACGUAUUAUAAUAUUCAAUGUUUAAAUAUUCUAGGAGUCAACAUGGCACCUGGAAGUUCUGUUAUGUGGGUUCCACGAAUGUCCAAGAUCCUCAAAUUUUGCAAUUUCUCAAUGCUUUGAGGUAAUUCCACAAUUGAUGUAGAUUUCAAGUCUAGCUCAGUCAAUGAUACCAACUUUCCGAUCGAGUCGGGAAUCUCUUUCAACAAGAGACAUCCUCGUAAUAACAAGCGUUGUAGAGACACCGGGGAGUCUAUGGAAUUUGGAAGUUGAGCAAGUUUAUGGCAUUUCCUUAGGUCAAGGAGAGACAAAAAUGUUAGAUUGCCUAUGGAGCUGUGUAUGUGGGCCAACAAUGCACAAUUAAAGGCAUUGAGGGUUUCGAGCUUCUUCAAAGAACCGAUUGGUUCAGGUAAUUCUUCAAUCCCUGAAUAAGACAAGUCCAACUGAAUCAAUGACACGAGGGAGCCCAUGGACUCUGGAAAUUUUCUAAUCCCUGAAUGAGAUAGGUCCAAUUGAGUUAACAACCCAAGAGAGCCCAUGGAGUGUGGUAAUUCUUCAAGAUAUGAAUAAGAUAGGUCCAACUGAGUUAACGACUCAAGAGAGUCCAUGGAUUCAGGUAAUUUAUCAAUCUCUGAAUGAGAUAGGUGUAGCUGAGUUAACAACUUAAGUGAGCCUAUGGAUUCAAGAAGUUGAGCAAGUUGUGGACACCAUGAGGCACAUAAAAUAUCCAGCUUCAUCAGAUCACCUUUUGAUAUUGGAAUCUCUCGUAUAGCCGUAUCAUUUAUGAGAAGCUCCCUCAAUUGUUCCAUUCUACCUAUUCCUAUCGGUAGUUCCUCCAAUCUCCUACAACCGUUGACAUUCAAAGAGAUAAGGGACUUGAUGAGCAUGAUAGAAUGAUGAAUCAUUUCCAGAUUCUCACAUUCUUCAAGAAUCAAAAUCUCCAAGCUUUCGAAAGCAGACAAGUCAGGAGUGCUUCUUAAAGAAAGACAACCUGUAAGGUUGAGAACUUUGAGCUGGGUUGCCAUCUGAAGAAAGAAAGAGAUAGCUCAACGAGAUUUUCCACUACUCUUUGUUCUUUUAGACUUUUUAAAUUUCCUUGGAAAAACCCACGCUCCACUACCCCUGAUCUUAUGCUACCAUUGCUAUGAUGCUCCACUACUUCACAUUUGUUUUAUUUAAAUGUUUCUUAAGUAGUAAUGUUUGGCUAUGUCACCAACACAUAAAUGUCUAUUACAAAAACAAUGUUAUCGACAUAAAAGUGCUCUCUAGUACUCACAAAAAUAACAUAUAAUUCACCCUCAUAAAAGUG
This 15801-nucleotide long non-coding RNA is filed under the name Eucalyptus grandis. RNAcentral describes it as "long non-coding RNA (EGRA_LNC006916)". Lineage: Eukaryota; Viridiplantae; Streptophyta; Magnoliopsida; Myrtales; Myrtaceae. The record is from RNAcentral.